GACGUAGUCGACACGCCGCUGACCAUCCUGGAAGUAGAGGCCGUGCUGGCAGUGGGUGUUUUCCUCUGGGGUUAGAGCCUUCAGUAGCUGACAACACAUGGGGACACACAGAGAGGGCAAGAAGCACCUGGAAGCCUCCUUACAAAUCCUGAUUUUUAUGCCUUUAACCGAGAGCUGACAGUAGAGGGAUGACAAGUGAAAGACAUGAAGAAUGACAUCCCUCAAAGGUGCCCAGCCGGAUUCAAACCAGGGAUGUUGCCAUUCAGUACCUUACACCCC
Siniperca chuatsi (mandarin fish) is the source of this 279-nucleotide long non-coding RNA. RefSeq lists it as uncharacterized. NCBI's taxonomy places the organism in Eukaryota, Metazoa, Chordata, Actinopteri, Centrarchiformes, Sinipercidae. The record is from RefSeq and is a predicted model, not a curated record. The transcript is spliced from 3 exons.